This 850-nucleotide ribosomal RNA is filed under the name uncultured bacterium. RNAcentral's name for it is "bacterial SSU rRNA". It matches the Rfam family "Bacterial small subunit ribosomal RNA", at positions 54 to 901 of the family's 1533-position model. The record is from RNAcentral.
CCUGCAGUCGAGCGGCAGCGCGGGGCAACCUGGCGGCGAGCGGCGAACGGGUGAGUAAUGCAUCGGAACAUGUCCAUGUCGUGGGGGAUAGCCCGGCGAAAGCCGGAUUAAUACCGCAUACGUCCGAGAGGAGAAAGUGGGGGACCGCAAGGCCUCACGCGAUUGGGUUGGCCGAUGUCCGAUUAGCUAGUUGGCGGGGUAAGAGCCCACCAAGGCGAUGAUCGGUAGCUGGUCUGAGAGGAUGAUCAGCCACACUGGGACUGAGACACGGCCCAGACUCCUACGGGAGGCAGCAGUGGGGAAUUUUGGACAAUGGGGGAAACCCUGAUCCAGCCAUUCCGCGUGAGUGAAGAAGGCCUUCGGGUUGUAAAGCUCUUUUGUCCGGAGCGAAACGGUGAACGUGAAUAGCGUUCGCUACUGACGGUACCGGAAGAAUAAGCACCGGCUAACUACGUGCCAGCAGCCGCGGUAAUACGUAGGGUGCGAGCGUUAAUCGGAAUUACUGGGCGUAAAGCGUGCGCAGGCGGUUUUGUAAGCCAGAUGUGAAAUCCCCGGGCUUAACCUGGGAAUGGCAUUUGGGACUGCAAGGCUGGAGUGCGGCAGAGGAGACUGGAAUUCCUGGUGUAGCAGUGAAAUGCGUAGAUAUCAGGAGGAAUACCGAUGGCGAAGGCAGGUCUCUGGGCUGACACUGACGCUCAUGCACGAAAGCGUGGGGAGCAAACAGGAUUAGAUACCCUGGUAGUCCACGCCCUAAACGAUGUCGACUGGUUGUUGGGGGUUUGACACUCUCAGUAACGAAGCUAACGCGUGAAGUCGACCGCCUGGGGAGUACGGCCGCAAGGUUAAUACU